This 497-nucleotide ribosomal RNA is filed under the name uncultured bacterium. RNAcentral describes it as "partial 16S ribosomal RNA". It matches the Rfam family "Bacterial small subunit ribosomal RNA", at positions 28 to 507 of the family's 1533-position model. The record is from RNAcentral.
GAUGAACGCUGGCGGCGUGCCUAAUACAUGCAAGUCGAGCGAACAGAUAAGGAGCUUGCUCCUUUGACGUUAGCGGCGGACGGGUGAGUAACACGUGGAUAACCUACCUAUAAGACUGGGAUAACUUCGGGAAACCGGAGCUAAUACCGGAUAACAUAUUGAACCGCAUGGUUCAAUAGUGAAAGGCGGCUUUGCUGUCACUUAUAGAUGGAUCCGCGCCGUAUUAGCUAGUUGGUAAGGUAACGGCUUACCAAGGCAACGAUACGUAGCCGACCUGAGAGGGUGAUCGGACACACUGGAACUGAGACACGGUCCAGACUCCUACGGGAGGCAGCAGUAGGGAAUCUUCCGCAAUGGGCGAAAGCCUGACGGAGCAACGCCGCGUGAGUGAUGAAGGUCUUCGGAUCGUAAAACUCUGUUAUCAGGGAAGAACAAAUGUGUAAGUACCUGUGCACAUCUUGACGGUACCUGAUCAGAAAGCCACGGCUAACUACGUG